UGGGAUAGAAUGUGAAGUUAAGUUGUAAAGUAUGUUGAAGAAUAGUAUUGUCAUGUGUUAGACAGUCAUGAUUGUGUAUAAGUUAAGGUUACUCGAUUUUGGGAAUAGUGUGUAAAGUUUAAUGUAUAAACAAUUUAUGUUUAUAUCUUCCGCAAACAGUUGUAGAAAUAGCGAACCGGAUCCGCAGCGAUUCGGGACCCGGAUUCGGGGCUGCUACAUACACCCCCGCCGGGGCGGGGGUGUCGAAUUCUGCAGUCUUUUGUUAAGAUUGAAACUCUUCUUGGGCAUGGAUUCUAGCUUAUUGCAUGGCAAUGGAACUCUAGAGAGAUGGAAUUUCGGCUGGGACUUGUGUGUUGGACAUCUAAUACUCAAUUAACAACGAAUUCAACAACACACAAGGCAUAUUACGAAGAUUAAUCUCAGUUUUUCAGAGCAAGCAUUGGAAGGAGUAUUUGGAAGAGAUUUUCGAGACGAUUGCAAUUUUAGGCUACGUGAAGGGUGUUUUUUAAUAUUCUUAUCUUAGGC
RNAcentral lists this long non-coding RNA (525 nucleotides) under Panax ginseng (ginseng). RNAcentral's name for it is "long non-coding RNA (PGIN_LNC011712)". Lineage: Eukaryota; Viridiplantae; Streptophyta; Magnoliopsida; Apiales; Araliaceae. The record is from RNAcentral.